AGUGAACGCUGGCGGUAGGCCUAACACAUGCAAGUCGAACGGCAGCACAGUAAGAGCUUGCUCUUACGGGUGGCGAGUGGCGGACGGGUGAGGAAUACAUCGGAAUCUACUUUUUCGUGGGGGAUAACGUAGGGAAACUUACGCAAUACCGCAUACGACCUACGGGUGAAAGCAGGGGAUCUUCGGACCUUGCGCGAUUGAAUGAGCCGAUGUCGGAUUAGCUAGUUGGCGGGGUAAAGGCCCACCAAGGCGACGAUCCGUAGCUGGUCUGAGAGGAUGAUCAGCCACACUGGAACUGAGACACGGUCCAGACUCCUACGGGAGGCAGCAGUGGGGAAUAUUGGACAAUGGGCGCAAGCCUGAUCCAGCCAUACCGCGUGGGUGAAGAAGGCCUUCGGGUUGUAAAGCCCUUUUGUUGGGAAAGAAAAGCAGCAGGUUAAUACCCCGCUGUUCUGACGGUACCCAAAGAAUAAGCACCGGCUAACUUCGU
This 490-nucleotide ribosomal RNA is filed under the name uncultured bacterium. Its description in RNAcentral is "partial 16S ribosomal RNA". It matches the Rfam family "Bacterial small subunit ribosomal RNA", at positions 29 to 506 of the family's 1533-position model. The record is from RNAcentral.